Long non-coding RNA from Amblyraja radiata (thorny skate), 162 nucleotides. RefSeq lists it as uncharacterized. The transcript is spliced from 4 exons. NCBI's taxonomy places the organism in Eukaryota, Metazoa, Chordata, Chondrichthyes, Rajiformes, Rajidae. The record is from RefSeq and is a predicted model, not a curated record.
UGGCUCGCUGCAUCUCACACACACUGUCUGCGAGGCUGCUGCUGCCUCAGCUGUAAUGUUGCACCAGUGCCUCUGGACAAGUGUUUGGGCAGCAAAACCCGUCCCUCACGCUUGCUUCAGAGGAACGGAUGCUGGAGGAACUCAUCUUGUAUCAAUGGGCAG